GACGAACGCUGGCGGCGUGCUUAACACAUGCAAGUGGUGCGACGAACCAGGGCUUGCCCUGGGGCAAAGCCGCGAACGGGUGAGUAACACGUGAGUAACCUGCCCCGAUGACCGGGACAACCCGAGGAAACUCGGGCUAAUACCGGAUGUGGUGCACAGUCUUAAGUCUGUGUACUAAAGGAAGCUUCGGCCUCCGCAUUGGGAGGAGCUCGCGGCCCAUUAGCUUGUUGGUGGGGUAACGGCCUACCAAGGCAACGAUGGGUAGCUGGUCUGAGAGGACGAUCAGCCACACUGGGACUGAGACACGGCCCAGACUCCUACGGGAGGCAGCAGUGGGGAAUCUUGCGCAAUGGGCGAAAGCCUGACGCAGCGACGCCGCGUGCGGGAAGAAGGCCUUCGGGUUGUAAACCGCUUUCAGGAGGGACGAAGCCACUCGGGUUAAUAGCCCAGAGGGUGACGGUACCUCCAGAAGAAGCCCCGGCUAACUACGUGCCAGCAGCCGCCGUAAAAC
RNAcentral lists this ribosomal RNA (511 nucleotides) under uncultured bacterium. RNAcentral describes it as "bacterial SSU rRNA". It matches the Rfam family "Bacterial small subunit ribosomal RNA", at positions 28 to 526 of the family's 1533-position model. The record is from RNAcentral.